GAACUAGGAAUUUUUCCACUGAAACAGUUGUCAUUUAAUUUUAAAACUUCUAAGGACAUCCAACCCAUCCAACAAUCAGGUAUCUCUCCGGAUAGAUGAUUUUUUCCAAAGUUAAGCAGCACAGUGAUCACAUCAUGUGUUCUAUGACAUAGAAAGGUGAAUAAUGAUCCAGAGAGUAAAUUAUCGGAAAGAUCUAUCCAACAGGAAGAGACAUUAGGCAAUGGACCAUUGAAUUUAUUUGAACUCAAGUCGAUGAAGGUAUACAAAUCAUUGGUGGAGGACAAAUAGGGAAUCUUGCCAUGCAAUUGGUUAUGAGAUAAAUUAAGAUUAGAAAGUCUUAAAGACCAGUCACUGAACCAAACAGGAAGGGUACUUGAAAUUUUUGAGUUUGACAAGUCUAGAAAGACUAACUCCUUCAGUGAACGGAGCCAUCUAGGAAGUUGAGGUCCAACAUCCCAAGAUUGCAAAGAUAUGCUUUCAACAAGUUGAAAAGGUGGAA
This 499-nucleotide unclassified non-coding RNA is filed under the name Hevea brasiliensis (rubber tree). Lineage: Eukaryota; Viridiplantae; Streptophyta; Magnoliopsida; Malpighiales; Euphorbiaceae. The record is from RNAcentral.